RNAcentral lists this ribosomal RNA (481 nucleotides) under uncultured bacterium. RNAcentral's name for it is "SSU rRNA". It matches the Rfam family "Bacterial small subunit ribosomal RNA", at positions 26 to 518 of the family's 1533-position model. The record is from RNAcentral.
AGAACGAACGUUGGCGGCGUGGAUUAGGCAUGCAAGUCGAACGAAUCCCAUCUGGGCAACUGGGUGGGGGAAGUGGCGAAAGGGGCAGUAAGGCGUGGGUAACCUACCCCGGGGACGGGCAUAGCCGUCCUAACGGACGGGUAAUUCCUGGCGAUUCGGCGGAGGGGCAUCUCUCUGCCGGGAAAUGAGUUUCGCCUCGGGAGGGGCUCACGUAGUAUUAGCUGGUUGGUGGGGUGACGGCCUACCAAGGCGAAGAUGCUUAGCGGGUGUGAGAGCACGACCCGCGCCACUGGCACUGCGACACUGGCCAGACUCCUACGGGAGGCUGCAGUCGAGGAUCUUCGGCAAUGGGCGCAAGCCUGACCGAGCGACGCCGCGUGUGCGAAGAAGGCCUUCGGGUUGUAAAGCACUGUCGAGGGAGAAAGCCGCAAGGUUGAUCGACCCCUGGAGGAAGCACGGGCUAAGUCGUGCCAGCAGCCGC